This 4068-nucleotide long non-coding RNA is filed under the name Homo sapiens (human). RNAcentral describes it as "non-protein coding lnc-AIG1-5:1". Lineage: Eukaryota; Metazoa; Chordata; Mammalia; Primates; Hominidae. The record is from RNAcentral.
AGCUGCCAGUCUCAUUGUUGCUCUUUUGUAGAUAAUGUGUCUUUUUUCUUCUGGCUGGUUUUUCCAUCUUCUCUGUCUUUGGUUCAGCAGUUUUAUUGUGAGUUGCAUAAUUGUGGUUUUCUCUAUACUUAUCCUGCUUGAGGGUUUGCUGAGCUUCUUAACCAGUGGGUUAAAUGUAUUUUAUCUGCUUUAGAAAAUUCCCAACCAUUAUCCCUUUGAAUAUUGCUUCUGCUCUAUUUCUUUCUCCUUGCCCUCUGAAACUUCAGUUUUACAUGGUAGACCUUUCAUACUUGUCCUGUAUGUCUCUUACAUUUGUUUCUUAUUUUUUCUCUUUCUUUUUUUCUUCCAUGCUUCACUUUGUAUAUUUUUCAUUGAUAUGUUUCCAGUUCACAAGUCUUGUAUUCAAUAGUGUCCAACCUAUUGUUAAACUCAUAUAUUGAGUUUUUAAAUUUAAUUUUGAAAUAAUUUACUUUGAAAUAUUUUUAUCAGAAAAGUUGCAAGAACAGUAGAAUGAACUCCCACAUUCUCUUCAUCCAGAUUCCUCAGUUAAUAGUUUCAUAUUUUCUCCAUCUCUUUUUGUAAAGAUGAUAGAUAGAUAGAUAGAUAGAUAGAUAGAUAGAUAGAUAGAUAGAUGUGUAUUUUCAAGGAUAUGAUACCUUUUUUGAAUAUUUUGAGAGCAAGUUAAGCAAGUUGAAACCUUUAUGUCCUAUCAUCUGUAAAUAUUCCUAUUACUACUUCUCCCAAAGACACUCUCCUACAGAGUAAUUGCCAAGCCUUUCAAAUCAGAAAAUGGACAGCGAUAAAUACCAGCAUUCAAACCACAGUUCAUUAUUAUCCAACGUUCCAGGCUUAUCUUGAAAUUUCUCUACCUCCAUCCUUGAAUCAUCCACUUUUACAAGGAGUCCUUGUUGUUUGUUAUGGAAAUUGGAACCUACAUACUUGUUAUUAAUUGCUACUGGGGUGUCAUUGCACCUAGGUCCUCUCCAUGGUCAGAAUUUUGAAAUAUAUGUAUGUAUUCAUGGAUAUGUACACAGACAUAUUCACUUGCAUUGAUAAUUUUUUUUGUUUCUUUCCUCCCUUCCCUUUCACUCUUUCCUUCUUUCCUUCCUUUUGCUCUUUCCUUCCUUCCUUCUUCCUUCUUACCAUAACAAUAGCAAUGAGUUAUUUUUUUCGCUUCCCCUUUUCAUAUUUGUAAAUUUGUUUUCCCACAGAGAGAAAUCCAGCUUCCAUUAGCUUCAAUAUAGAUACUUUCUUGAUCAAUCCUCCUUUACAUAAUUAAUUUCCUAAAAAUGCUAGGUACUGCCAUGGCCAACUCAUCACUCCUGAUUUCAUCUCCAGGCAAGUUGUCACUUUUGAACUCUUCUCCCCACCAAACCCUGGUCUGUUUGAUAUGCCACUGCCUCCAUGCCCCUGUCUCCACCUUCUGGCUGUUAGACACAUUGUUAACUGUGCACCCCAACUUACUCUUACCUUCACCUCCCUGGUGCUUCUUCUGCUGAGCAUACAACUGCCACCAUAUGUACCCCCUAUACAUGCUUCCUUGGACACCAGGCACUCUGCUGCCUCCACAUGGCUUUCCCAUUAUGACUUCUUUUGCCCCUAUGCACAUCACUAUCUGUAUGCCCGCCACCCUACUUUCUUGGCUGUUGGACACACUGCUAUCUCUACUGAUCCUUUCCACUGCAGUUUUCUCCAUAUAUUGAUUUCUUAACUGACGAUAGUAUAUUUUUUCAAAUUUAGAAUGCCUAAAGAAAUCUUUUUUAUAGGUUAGUUUUACUGAAAAUUGUCCAUUUCCUCAUCAAUUUUGCACUUUAUUUUCUUAAACAUAUUCAUAAAAAUUAUUUGUAAAUUCUCAUUUGCUGAUUACAAUAUCUUGAUCAUCUAUAAUUGUGUUUCUAUUGUGUGUGUUUUUUUCUCUUGAUUAUUGGGCAAAUGAACUUGAUCUUCCACAUCUAGUAAUUUAAAAAAUGUUAGACAUUAUGUAUAAUAAAACCAUAAAGGGUCCAGAUGAUAUUGCCUUCCACCGAAAGUGUUCCCUUUUUCUUCUGUUGGGCAGGUAGAAUAGCCUUUGAUCACCUCAAUCGAGUCAGAGAUUAUUCUGAAUCAGAAGCUGGUUUCAGUUUUGCUAAGUGUACCUCCGAUUCACUUCUGUUCUUAGGGUGUAGCCCUCCAGGGCUUUCAAUUGAGAGCCUGGUGGAUCUCUGUCUUCCAGCCCUAAAAGAUAACAGCAAGUUUUCAGUUUAGCUCUUUAACCUCCUGCUCCAUAAAGCUUCAAAAUUCAGCAACUCGCUUGAAAGGAAGACUGGCAAUGUGUUUGGGACACUCUAUAGUCUUCUGUGAAGAAUAGAGAUCUCUUUUGUUGUUUUCUUUGAGGGACAGCCUGUAGCUUUGCUCAGAAUCUGUAAAUAUUCCCAUCAAAAAACCACCUGUAAAUUACCAAUGUCAAUUCCCUACUCCCUCUUAUGUUUUUAUAUUUUACUUCUUUUGUUUUGGGGCUCCUCUUUUCCAUAGCAGUUCGUUGAUUCUCUAGCACCAUGACACUGUGGGGGACUUCACUUUGCAUUUCAGAAGUUUGGGGACUACUGUUUUAGCCUCCAUACAGUCUCAGAAUUCAGUUAAUGUCUUAAUCAUGUAUUUAGGGUUUCUCACACCUUCAGUGAGUCACCAAAGCCCCAUAUAACUGCUAAAAGUUUUGUUAGUUUAACUUUUUUCCGCAGCUGCAUCUUUCUGCCUGGACUCAGCCUCAUCCUUAGCCUGCACUCCAACCUGGCAAUUUUGCCAAGAGGAAAAAAUUGUGGACAUCAUCAAGUCAUUACUGGAAAGUUCUCACUUCUCUGGAAUUUUAAUCCAUUUAGUUCUUGUUUUUAAAACCCUCUGAUUCCUUUAUAAAUAUAUAAUUUACCUAGGUUUUUCUCGUUGUUAGUCCAAGUGUUGGCCUGCCACACUGACUAUAUCCUUUCUGGAAAUAGAAAUUCUCUCUGUUGCCCUUAAUGAAUUUAAAAAAAUAUUUUAUACCACUUUAUUGUUUAUUCUUAGUCCAAAACAUGUUUUCUACCAUUGUUGGAAGCAGAAGUUCUGGAAUUGGUUUCUAUAUAUUUUCAGAUCCCGUAAAAAUGAAUUAAGGUGAAUUUGAUUAAUGUAAAUUAGAUUUAUGUGAAUAAAGGAUAAAUAGUUAAGUUCAUCAUUGUUGCAAUUAGAGAAGUGGUACAGGUUCCCCAUUCUAGCACUGAGUAUUUGAAAUCAUACCUCUGCUAAGAUCCUGCAAAUAUUUCAGCUCACUCCCUGUGUGCAUUGACACAUAUUAUCAGCCCUCUCUUUUCUUAUAUUAAACAGGGCCACAAGAUGCAACACACGCUUUCUCAUUGCUUCACAAUUUUUUCUUCUUUCACUUUCAUUCAGUCACUUCAUAUCAGCUAUGUGUUAAGCAUAGGAGAUUUGUCAGUGAAAAAAGUAUCAAACUCCUCAUCUUUAUGGAGAUUACAUUGUAGUAGGAAGAGACAAACAAUAAACAAGAGCAAUAACACGCUUCAUAGUAGACAUAUAAUUCCAAGCAUGUGUACCUAUUAGUCUUAAAUACAGGAGAGACACUCAAGACAGAAAUAAAAUGUAAUAAAAUCCAAACCCUACAGUCUGCAGGGGACUUGGACAAGACCCCAAGAUUCUUCAAGGAUAGGAUAGGGGGGGACAACCUGUAACAAUUAAUGAAGGUGUAGUAUUCAGCUCUUCUAUUUCUACUGAUAAAGUUCUUUCUCCAUACAUUAUAAAACUUAGAUUGUUAUUGUUUUAAAUUGGGAAGGUUGAAAAUGUUGUGAUGUACAGGAAUAAGGAAAAUGAAUUCUUACGGUCUGUAUAUCUUGGUUUAAAAAAUGUAUGCCCUGGAGUUAAGUUUCAGGUGCCAUUUUCCCCUCUCCUAUGAGUCUAUCCCAUACAAAUGUUGUAACAUCUCCCCAGUUUCUACUGGUUAGAUCAGUAUUUGUUUUUGUUUCCAGAAUUUUCUGAUUUCUUGCUGAUCCAUGAAAUAGGAACUUCUUCUUACCUUCUGAAAAUAUUAAAAGGAGACUUACACCC